Molecule: long non-coding RNA, 278 nt
Organism: Pieris brassicae (large cabbage white)
Lineage: Eukaryota; Metazoa; Arthropoda; Insecta; Lepidoptera; Pieridae
Exons: 3
Source: RefSeq, a predicted model, not a curated record
CUGAUUGGUCGAGACGAAGGCUAAUUUAAUAUGGCGAAUUUAACGUUCAUUUGAGUGUAUUUUUUCAUCAGUUUAUUGAUAAUUGUUUUAAAUUCUGUUUAACGUGAUAAAUACAAAAGAUGGUGAUUAUGCAAGAUCAAUGAAAAUCAGAUAGAAAAUAUAGCUAACAUCGCGUAGAAAAGAUAUAUGGAGAUUCACUAGGAAGGCAAAUAGAAGACACAUUGCCAGCGAAUAUACAAUGUUACUAAGAUAUUUUAAAAAUAAUAUUGUAAAAGACA